This 72-nucleotide transfer RNA is filed under the name Ovis aries (sheep). It matches the Rfam family "tRNA". From Rfam's summary of the family: Transfer RNA (tRNA) molecules are approximately 80 nucleotides in length. Their secondary structure includes four short double-helical elements and three loops (D, anti-codon, and T loops). The record is from Rfam by way of RNAcentral. Lineage: Eukaryota; Metazoa; Chordata; Mammalia; Artiodactyla; Bovidae.
UCCCUGGUGGCUUAGACAGUAAAGAACCUGCCUGCAAUGUGGGAGAUCCAGGUUCGAUACCUGGGUUGGGAA